CCUACGGGAGGCAGCAGUGGGGGAUAUUGCACAAUGGGGGGAACCCUGAUGCAGCGACGCCGCGUGGGUGAAGGAGCGUUUCGGCGCGUAAAGCCCUAUCGGCAGGGAAGAAGGAGGACGGUACCUGACUAAGAAGCACCGGCUAACUACGUGCCAGCAGCCGCGGUAAUACGUAGGGAGCGAGCGUUAUCCGGAAUUAUUGGGUGUAAAGGGUGCGUAGGCGGGAAAACAAGUUAGUUGUGAAAUCCCUCGGCUUAACUGAGGAACUGCAACUAAAACUAUUUGUCUUGAGUGCAGGAGAGGUAAGUGGAAUGCCUAGUGUAGCGGUGAAAUGCGUAGAUAUUAGGAGGAACACCAGUGGCGAAGGCGACUUACUGGACUGUAACUGACGUUGAGGCACGAAAGUGUGGGGAGCAAACAGGAUUAGAUACCCCAGUAGUC
This 441-nucleotide ribosomal RNA is filed under the name uncultured bacterium. Its description in RNAcentral is "partial 16S ribosomal RNA". It matches the Rfam family "Bacterial small subunit ribosomal RNA", at positions 338 to 795 of the family's 1533-position model. The record is from RNAcentral.